CCCUUUUCAAAUUUAAAUUAAUUUUGGCAUAUCUGAAACAAUGCUUGUUGAAGAAGGGAAGAGUUGAUCCAACAACCUUAAGUAAGAUGUCAACAACUAAAAGUUUCAAAUACAAUCUAUAUUUUAAAAAUCUUAGUAAUGUUUGCCGAAAUGGAGAUAAGGUUUUGUGAUACAUUUAUGCCACCAGUUAUAUACUUGAGGUUUCAUGGGAUUUCUGAAAAUUUCACUUUUAUGUCCUACUGCUGACGGUGUGGGACCCACCUGUCAGUGACAGAGCCGAGCCGUGGAUGGUCGAUCGCAACUCGCAACGGAAGAGGAAGCGAGCGAGCGAUCGAUCACCGGCGGCGUAGUGGCUCCUCCGGUGGCGCCCGCCGCCGGCAACCCCAGCCGCCGCCUCGUGACGGUUCGGCGCAGCUCUUUCUCUGAGGUUGAUGCGAGGAGAUCGCGGUGGGGAGAUAGGGGAGAGGCCAGUGGUGAGAGCGUUCGAGAAUUGGUUGCUCGCCCGCCGGGUGUUCGACGUAAUGUCGCGCCGGGAUGCAGUGCAAACUGUACAGAUCGUCGUUCUCGCGGGUGCCGGAUGCGGGGUUUGCUACGGCGGUGUGUUCCCGCGAGGAAAGCUAUCUCACUCUCAGCUGGUAGGGCUUUAAUCAAAUAUCAUGUGUUCGUGUCUGCCGCGUACCAUCACACUAUGGAUCAUCUAUAUGCAAUUAUGGGCUGUCCCAUUGGGCCUAGCCCUCUAGGUUGAAAUUUGUGUCUCAUUUGGCAUGUGCGGACUUUGGUUAAAAGGCUGAUUGAACCAUUGACUUCAUGCAUGUUCCAGGUUAGUAAUUCGUAGUUCUGAGUUCAGUAUUCAAAGUGCAGCAAAUAGUUGAUGAGUAAAUACUUUUCCAUUCAAAGCAUUGUGGUCCCUGAGAAGCUGAGACAGGUAUCUUCAUGCUAUUUUUCCGUGUUAGUCUAGUGUCUGCUAUUCUAGUUUAGCAUAACUCAUCUUGCAGAUUAAUCAACCAGGUAUGAUCAUCUAGACCUUUAUUACAGACUAAGAAGAUAUGUUCUCAUCUUGGACUGAGAAAAAUGUAAAUGCUAUUGGUCAUUCUCUUGUAUCCAUAUACUGAAGCUGUAGCCUCAGAACUAUUCAGCUUUAUACUUUCACAGUAAAACUCUAGUCUUCUGAAGUGAUUAUAAUGUUCUUAAGCAAUAUUUGCAUAACAUAUAUAAAAAUAGUCAGAUUUUUUUGAACCUUGGUUUCAAGGUGAUAUUAAAGACAUGCAGGUUCCUAAAUAUACUUCAAAAUAUUUAUGCAAUAUUGUACAGUACUCUACGAGUAGCAGCCUGAUAGUAUGUGAUAUCGUGAUCCAUAUCAAUAAAAUACUCUGAUAUGUCAUUUAUUUUUCAUAAAUUAGCACGUGAUACAAAUGGUUUCUCACAUUAUUCAUCAUUUUGUAAACAUGUCUGUUGUUCAUAAUUGUAGCUAAUGCAUAACUAACCAUUGUUUCUAAUAACACUUAUUAGCUUUAUUUAGCUCUACCUCUGGUAGCAAGUUACCCUUUUCAUCAUUAUUUCUUUGUCUUCUAGGCAAUCUAUAGAUCAUUCUAGGACAUUGUUUCCUUUCAAUGAAAAAUGCAGGGAUCAUUGCUCCAGUUAAAGGUGGAGUAGGACUUAAAACUACCAUAACUUUCAAAGAGAACCCUAUCUAAACACACCCCUAACAUCUGAGUCAGUCAGCUUUCUGGGACCAGUCCUAUCUUGUAAAUGUGGUUGCCAGCUUCCUGACCUAUUGCUACUUUCAUUUUGCCAGGCCCUGCUUCGUACAACCUGGAAAUGGCAAAACUAAUUAGUAAUGAAUAUUAAUCUUCAUCAUUACCUGAAAAUAGCAAAUCAGACGAGAGAUUAUAUUAAUUUAAUGCCAGAUCUGGUGUGAUUCAUGGCUAAUCAGUAGAGGAAAAUAAUUUACCAACCUGGUUAUACUAUUCAGAAUAUGUCGGCUCUAUUGUGUACCUACCACCUACCAUGUCUGCAGUCAACAUAUCUGGAGAUCUUCACAAAUCAGAUCGUGCACAGAUAUAUGGUCCACUCCGCUUCUUUCGGACAAAAUUUGGGCAUGGUGCACUCAAAUUCUCUGAGUCUGAUGAUCCCAUGGGCUCGUCAACAUCAACAAGGGUUGAGUGCGUUGUCUCAUCAUCAGCAUCAUGAGGAAUGAAGAAAUCUGGACCAAGCUGCAAGGUCUUGCAUGGACGCAAGUAUGCUGACAGGUCUUUCUUUUGCCGUAAUAUAUAUUCCACCUGAAAUGGAUGCAUAAUGUUAAUAAUUUCCAUAUGUGCUCCCCCAAAAAUCUAAGUAAGCUCAAAUUGUGUUUAAUGACUAUCUGAACAUAUUUACAUAUUACAAGUUUAGAAUACAUGCAUACUACAUUUAAUCUUAACAAUGCAUAUUGAAGGAAGUUGUUAUAUAUUAAGGAAAUGAGAAAUUAUCGAAGCUGAGAUCACUUGCAAUAUGGAUAUGGCACAUAAUUGUUGCAUCUGAAGCAUUUUCCUCUUGGUAAUUGGCAUAAAGCUGCUAAUAUGAUUUGUUUUUUUUUUAAAAGUUCUUUCUAGUUCUCAGUUAAUCUGUGAUUGGUUUCUUCGGGUAGCCGGACCAAUGUGUAUAUGCAUGUGAAACAAGUUGCAUCUAAACACAGAAUAACGAUAUCAUAAUUCCAGCCAAUCACCUUGCAAUCCAGAGAGCAGUGGAAAUAGGGUUCUUGGAGGCUUCUAUCGCAAGAGCCUUCCAGGUGUGGAUUUGAUGAGGACUGCAAUGGUCUGUCCCAGGUGUGCUUCUGUCAAGAGAUUGGCCCAUUGUCCCUGAAAGGGAACAGCUGUUUCAUCACUCCCUUUCUCUGCACAAUGAUGGUGUUGAAUGCAGAUGAAAUGGGGAUUAGAGGAGAAAGUGUCAGAUAAAGAAAGCAUCAGAACAUGACAUGUGAAUGAGGUACAUAAUACGUUGCCAAUGCUCUGUAUAUAUCAUCAGUGGUGCAUGCAUAAAUAGGAAAGCUACAUCGAGAUUCUCCUUUCUAAAAUGCAAAGAAACCUGAAGCUUUAUUCAGAGAGAGAUUGGAAUUUGCUAAAGCUUUUUAUUUAUUUUACAUUAUUAUAUUUUUAUGACAAGGCUAAAGCAUGAAUUGGGGAAUGGGAUACAUGCAUGUACCUAUCAAUAAUCCAUGGAAUAACAACAACCCGGUUCUUGUGAUAGCAAAGCUCCAAAGCCUACAACCUUUUAAUUUCCCCUAGCAUCCAGCUACUAGGAUUUGACCUAAAAAUCACGUUGUUAAUCUGUCUAAGCAAAUUAAGGACCAGCUGCUAAUUAGCCCCCAUGAGUAAUGGGUAAGCAAUGGAUGUUGUUGUUUCUUGUUUCUAGCUGUAGCCUCCUUGUAGGUCACCCUAUUAUUUGAUCAUGCAUCUGGUUUUACUACUAGCUAUAGCUUGUUGGGUCACACACUACACCCAAGUAGACAUCUCAUUAUAAUAUUAUAAUCAUGCCAUUAUUUUAGUAAA
Oryza sativa Japonica Group (Japanese rice) is the source of this 3527-nucleotide non-coding RNA. The record is from RefSeq and is a predicted model, not a curated record. Lineage: Eukaryota; Viridiplantae; Streptophyta; Magnoliopsida; Poales; Poaceae.